This 72-nucleotide transfer RNA is filed under the name Ictidomys tridecemlineatus (thirteen-lined ground squirrel). RNAcentral describes it as "Spermophilus tridecemlineatus (thirteen-lined ground squirrel) tRNA". It matches the Rfam family "tRNA". From Rfam's summary of the family: Transfer RNA (tRNA) molecules are approximately 80 nucleotides in length. Their secondary structure includes four short double-helical elements and three loops (D, anti-codon, and T loops). Further hydrogen bonds mediate the characteristic L-shaped molecular structure. tRNAs have two regions of fundamental functional importance: the anti-codon, which is responsible for specific mRNA codon recognition, and the 3' end, to which the tRNAs corresponding amino acid is attached (by aminoacyl-tRNA synthetases). tRNAs cope with the degeneracy of the genetic code in two manners: having more than one tRNA (with a specific anti-codon) for a particular amino acid; and 'wobble' base-pairing, i.e. permitting non-standard base-pairing at the 3rd anti-codon position. RNAcentral also lists the same sequence under 1 other name. The record is from Rfam by way of RNAcentral. Lineage: Eukaryota; Metazoa; Chordata; Mammalia; Rodentia; Sciuridae.
GGGGUUGUGGCUCAGCAGUAGAGUGCUUGCCUAGCAUGUGCAAGGCCCUGGGUUCGAUCCUCAGCACCACCU